This 482-nucleotide ribosomal RNA is filed under the name uncultured bacterium. RNAcentral describes it as "partial 16S ribosomal RNA". It matches the Rfam family "Bacterial small subunit ribosomal RNA", at positions 28 to 507 of the family's 1533-position model. The record is from RNAcentral.
GACGAACGCUGGCGGCGUGCUUAACACAUGCAAGUCGAACGAUGAAGAAGGGAAACGCGAACUUCGGUUCAAAUUUCACUUCGGAUUAGUGGCAGACGGGUGAGUAACGCGUGAGCAACCUACCUCCUACAAAGGGAUAGCCUCGGGAAACCGUGAUUAAUACCAUAUGACACAUUCAUAAGGCAUCUUAAGAAUGUUAAAGCUACGGCGGUAAGAGAUGGGCUCGCGUCCCAUUAGCUAGUUGGUGAGGUAACGGCCCACCAAGGCGACGAUGGGUAACCGGCCUGAGAGGGUGAACGGUCACAUUGGAACUGAGACACGGUCCAAACUCCUACGGGAGGCAGCAGUGGGGAAUAUUGCACAAUGGAGGGAACUCUGAUGCAGCGACGCCGCGUGAGCGAUGAAGGAAUUCGUUUCGUAAAGCUCUGUUCUAUGGGAAGAAAAGGACUGUACCAUAGGAGAAAGCCCCGGCUAAAUACGUG